GACGAACGCUGGCGGCGUGCUUAACACAUGCAAGUCGAACGGAAAGGCCCUGCUUUUGUGGGGUGCUCGAGUGGCGAACGGGUGAGUAACACGUGAGUAACCUGCCCUUGACUUUGGGAUAACUUCAGGAAACUGGGGCUAAUACCGGAUAGGAGCUCCUGCUGCAUGGUGGGGGUUGGAAAGUUUCGGCGGUUGGGGAUGGAUUCGCGGCUGAUCAGCUUGUUGGUGGGGUAGUGGGUUGCCAAGGCUUUGCAGGAUAGCCGGCUUGAGAGGGUGACCGGCCAGCCAGGGUGGGAGUGACAGCCCGCACAGAUUCGUGCGGGAGGAAGGAGUGGGGAAGAACGGAGAGCGGGCGCAUGAUGGAGCAACGCCGGGCGCGUGAGUGCGGCCGGCGUGUGGGAUGCAGCUUUCGCCUAUGACGGAGGGUAAGUACCGGAAAGGGGGAAUGAGGCACGGCCAAAUUAGUG
RNAcentral lists this ribosomal RNA (467 nucleotides) under uncultured bacterium. RNAcentral describes it as "partial 16S ribosomal RNA". It matches the Rfam family "Bacterial small subunit ribosomal RNA", at positions 28 to 507 of the family's 1533-position model. The record is from RNAcentral.